CCUGGCUCAGAUUGAACGCUGGCGGCAUGCCUAACACACGCAAGUCGAACGGCAGCACAGUGUGUAGCAAUACACAUGGGUGGCGAGUGGCGGACGGGUGAGUAAUACAUGGGAAUCUGCCCAGUAGCGGGGGACAACCCGGAGAAAUCCGGGCUAAUACCGCAUACGCCCUACGGGGGAAAGCGGGGGACCGAAAGGCCUCGCACUAUUGGAUGAGCCCAUGUCGGAUUAGCUAGUUGGUAGGGUAACGGCCUACCAAGGCGACGAUCCGUAGCUGGUCUGAGAGGACGAUCAGCCACACCGGAACUGAGACACGGUCCGGACUCCUACGGGAGGCAGCAGUGGGGAAUAUUGGACAAUGGGGGAAACCCUGAUCCAGCAAUGCCGCGUGUGUGAAGAAGGCCUGCGGGUUGUAAAGCACUUUCGGUGGGGACAAAAAGCGCCGUGCCAACACCACGGUUUUUGAUUUAACCCAUAGAAGAAGCACCGGCUAACUCUGUGCCAGCAGCCGCGGUAAUACAGAGGGUGCGAGCGUUAAUCGGAAUUACUGGGCGUAAGCGCACGUAGGCGGCG
Molecule: ribosomal RNA, 573 nt
Filed under: uncultured Gammaproteobacteria bacterium
Lineage: Bacteria; Pseudomonadati; Pseudomonadota; Gammaproteobacteria
Description: bacterial SSU rRNA
Rfam family: Bacterial small subunit ribosomal RNA
Source: RNAcentral